Molecule: ribosomal RNA, 253 nt
Filed under: uncultured bacterium
Lineage: Bacteria
Description: partial 16S ribosomal RNA
Rfam family: Bacterial small subunit ribosomal RNA
Source: RNAcentral
GACGAGGGGUCCUAGCGUUGUUCGGAAUUACUGGGCGUAAAGCGCAUGUAGGCGGUUUGGUAAGUCAGAUGUGAAAGCCUUGGGCUCAACCUAAGAAGUGCAUUUGAUACUGCUGAACUUGAAUAUGGGAGAGGGUAGUAGAAUUCCUGGUGUAGUGGUGAAAUACGUAGAUAUCAGGAGGAAUACCGGUGGCGAAGGCGGCUACCUGGCCCAAUAUUGACGCUGAGAUGCGAAAGCGUGGGGAUCAAACAGG